GGAGAGAUGAGGAGAGAAGACGUGAAUGGAGAGAGUUGGUAGACCGCAGGACGGAGUGGACUUGGAGCGAGGGUCUGAUGGUCAGUGACGAUCCGAGGAGGUUGAUGGUGAACGAACGGCCUUACAAUGGGUAGAAAUUCCCCGAAACAGAGGAUGCAUAUCGGGUGUAAUCGUGUUCUUCCAAAAAAGGAGGUGCUGACACUAGCUACAGUUACUCUCUCAUUCAGCAGCAGACAAACAUAUUUGUCCUCAAUUCAUAAAACUCAUCAGUAAUGUCUGCACUGGGAAAGCAAUUGCUUCUUAUUUUACUACGUUCCCUUCUCAGUGAAGGAAAAUACCAAAAUCUGAUGGUUUCCCAGACACCGUUCAUGAUAAACGCACUGAAAGGACAGACAGUGAAAAUAAAUUGUUCCUACAGCCAUGAAAACUAUGAGCAAUUGUUGAUUGAAUGGCGAAGAAAUAACUCUGCACAGAAGCUUUGUGAUUAUAUUUUCAAUAGAAAUAUGAUAAAUUAUACUCAAUGCCAUUGUAUACAACGUACCAACAUUAAUUUGGACACCUCAAUGAAUUUGUUUAUAUUAACAAUCUACAAUCUUCAGUUGAGUGAUUCUGACAUUUACUUCUGCCGGGUUUUCUUUCAAAUACCCCCUCCGGUACAAGGCAUAGAGGGAAAAGGCACCAACUUAACAGUGGAAGCUUUCCCAAGGGUUUACCUGAAAGCUGAGCCCCUGCCUGCCCCUAACGCUAGAGUACAGCUCAACUGCACAUCAGUGGAGUUCUACCCGGGCAACAUUCAAGUGUCCUGGUUUAGAGAUGGACAGUUGAUCACCAACGGGACAGAGGAUGGGCCCCUCUAUUCUAAUAGCGACGGCUCGUUCUCCAUGGCAAGCUUCCUGAAUCUGUCUGUAUCUGACUGGAGUGAUGGUGGGAAUUAUUCCUGUCAGGUGAACCACUCAAGGCUCUCUAAACCUAUUGUCCAAUACAUUUCUGUCCAACUUGGAGAUAAUGAGAAUAUUACAUGCGCAAUAAAAACAAGAGUUGCUGUCUUAGCUGUGGCAACGUUGAUUGUGAUAACAGGACUUACUCUGUACUUCAAAACAAAAAACUUAACGAUGAAUUUGAACUCUGCCAAGUGUUCAAGCAUCAACUGUAACAUUCAUUAGUUCAACAAGCAUGGGAAACUUGACCUUGGGGUCCACAAGUGCCUAAUUCAAAGGUUACAAAUUUGAAUUUCCUAUUUAAAAUAAGAAUAAUUUACAGUACCUUUUGAAGUGUAUGAUUUUCCAUAUUUCUUUGAGAAAUCUUUCUAUCGAUGAAGAGAUUGUUCAUGAUCAAAAGAUGAAAUUUCACAUACAAGUUCUUUUGAAUAGCUAUUGUAUUCAGAUUAUUAUUCAUUCUUGUAACUCACCACGAGCUGUUCUUUGUGUUUGAGAAGUAAUGACCUAAAGCUUCAAUACCUUGGUUCCUUGGUCCCAAAUUUAUUUAACUAACAAAACUUCAAUUGUCUCAGUGCCAUAGUGUGAUUUGAUUUCCCAUUUGGAUUUGUAGUCCAGGACUCUUUUGCAUCAGUCUUCACUGUGAUAGACACUAGCAGUAUGGUGGGAGUUCCAGGUGUCAGGGGGCAUGAAGUGUGUGAAGUUUCCAUAACUAGAGAGAAGGCUCUUUGGAAACGGAAAGGUCUGAAGGAAGAUAAGUCACCUGGACCAGAUGGUGUACACUCCAGAGUUCUGAAAGAGGUAGCUGAAGAGAUUGUGGAGGCAAGAAUCACUAGAUUCUGGAAUAGUUCCCUAAGACUAGAAAAUUGCAAAUGUCAAGAAGGGAGAGAGGCAGAAGAAAGGAAAUGAUAGGCCAGUUAGUCUGACCUCAGUUGCUGGGAAGAUGUUGAAGUUGAUUAUUAAGGAUGAGUUCUUGGGGUAUUUGGAGGUACGUGAUAACAUAGGUCAUAUUCAGCAUGGGAAAAUCUUCUGGAAUUCUUUGAAGAAAUAACAAGCAGGAUAGACAGGGGAGAAUCAGUUGAAGUUGUGUACUUGGAUUUUCAGAAGGCCUUUGACAAGAUGCCACACGAGGCUGCUUAACAAGCUAUGAGCCUAUGGUAUUAUAGGAAAGAUUCUAGCAUGGAUAAAGCAGUGGCUGAUUGGCAGUAGGCAAAGGGUGGGAAUAAAGGGAGCCUAUUCUGACUGGCUGCCUGUGACUUGUGCUGUUCCAUGGGGUCCGUGUUGGGAUUGAUUCUUUUCACAUUAUAUGUAAAUGAUUUGGAUCAUGGAAUUGAUGUCUUUGUUGCAAAGUUUGCAGACAAUUAUGAAGACAGGUGGUUUGAGGAAGUAGCAAGGCUAGAGCAGGACUUAGACAGAUUAGGAGAAUGGGUAAAGAAUGGGUGAGAUGGAAUGCAGUGUUAGGAAGUGUAUGGUUGUGCACUUUUGUGGAAGAAAUUAAAGGAUUGACUAUUUUCAAAAUGGAGAAAAAAAUACAAAAAUCUGAGGUGCAGGAUUCCCCAAAGGUUAAUUUGCACAUUGAGUCUGUGGUGAGGAAGGUGAAUGCAAUAUUAGCAUUCAUUUUAAGAGGACUAGAAUGUUGAGACUUUAUAAAGCACUGGUGAAGCCUCACUUGGAGUGUUGUGAGUAGCCCCUCACCUUAGAAAGGAUGUGCUGAAACUGGAGACAGUUACAAGGAGGUUCUCAAAAACGAUUCCAGGAUUGAAUGGCUUGUCAUAUAAAGAGUAUUUGAUGGAUCCGGGCUUGUACUCAGUAGAAUUACGAAGAAUGAGGGGUGACCUCAUUGAAACCUAUCGAAUGGUGAAAGGCCUUGAUAGAGUGGCUGUGGAGAGGAUGUUUCCUAUAGUGGGAGAGUUUAAGAAUAGAGGGGGCGAUCUUUCAGAACGGAGAUGAGGAGGAAUUUCUUUAGCUAGACAGUGGUGAAUCUGUGGAAUUCUUUGCCACAGGCAGCUGUAGAGGCCAAGCCUUUAUGUGUAUUUAAGGCUGAGGUUGAUAGAUUCAUGAUUGGUCAGGGCAUGAAGGGAUAUGGGGAGAAGACAGGGGACUGGGGCUUGGAGGAAAAUUGGAUCAGCUGUGAUGAAAUGGCAGAAGAGACGCAAUGCGCCAAAUAGCCUAAUUCUGCUCCUAAAUUUUAUGGCCUUAUGGACUCAGAAUAUUAGUUCAAAAAUUUGCCAUAAUGCUACUGAUCUAUCCAUUUGAUACAAAAGAGCUGUACAAAUGAUCUACAUCGUGCUUAGAGAAGCACCUUUCUAUCCUACACUGAAUCAGGUUUAAUAGCACUGGCAUUUGUCAUGAAAUUUGUUACCUUUUUGACAGUAGUACAAUGCAAUACAUAAUAAUAGAGAAAAAACUGUAUAUACGUAAUAAAUAGCUAAAUUAAAUUAGUGCAAAAUAAAAAUAUAAAAGAGUAGAGAGCACUGUAUCUGCAGUGCAUCUUUGAUUGGGCAUGAACUUAGAAAUGUUGAAUAUUAAUGGAUCAUUUAAAUAUAGGACCUUUACAAAAUCAACUCGCAUAGCAAAAUCUGAGGUAACUCAGCCUAAUUCUUGCCGCAGUCCAAAUUAUAGCACCCAAUGUGGAUGCGUCCUUACUGAUCAACUCAAAUGUAGGCUUUGAAGUACAACUGAUCACCAUGAAAGCUACUGCUUGGCUUAGAAUGCAAAUGUUAAAUAAAAAGUACGAUUAAUAAUGUUACAGUGUUUAUUGACUUUGUGUACAAAAAACAGCUUUUGCUUGGAUUGUUAAAGUAUUAAUAAUCAAUUAACUGA
Mobula hypostoma (lesser devil ray) is the source of this 3758-nucleotide non-coding RNA. The record is from the annotation of a RefSeq genome assembly. NCBI's taxonomy places the organism in Eukaryota, Metazoa, Chordata, Chondrichthyes, Myliobatiformes, Myliobatidae.